UACGUAGGGGGCAAGCGUUACCCGGAUUUACUGGGUGUAAAGGGAGCGUAGACGGCCAGACAAGUCAGAAGUGAAAGCCCAGGGCUCAACCCUGGGACUGCUUUUGAAACUGCCGGGUUGGAGUGCAGGAGAGGUAAGCGGAAUUCCUAGUGUAGCGGUGAAAUGCGUAGAUGUUAGGAGGAACACCAGUUGCGAAGGCGGCUCUCUGGACUGUAACUGACACUGAGGCACGAAAGCGUGGGGAGCAAACAGG
Molecule: ribosomal RNA, 253 nt
Filed under: uncultured bacterium
Lineage: Bacteria
Description: partial 16S ribosomal RNA
Rfam family: Bacterial small subunit ribosomal RNA
Source: RNAcentral